GAUGAACGCUAGCUACAGGCUUAACACAUGCAAGUCGAGGGGUAACGAGAGGGAAGCUUGCUUUCCUUGUCGACGACCGGCGCACGGGUGAGUAACGCGUAUCCAACCUGCCCCCAACUAGGGAAUAACCUUGCGAAAGUAAGACUAAUACCCUAUAAUUUCCUCAGAUGUCAUCUGACGAGGAAUAAAGAUUUAUCGGUUGUGGAUGGGGAUGCGUCUGAUUAGCUUGUUGGCGGGGUAACGGCCCACCAAGGCAACGAUCAGUAGGGGUUUUGAGAGGAAGGUCCCCCACAUUGGAACUGAGACACGGUCCAAACUCCUACGGGAGGCAGCAGUGAGGAAUAUUGGUCAAUAGGCGGAAGCCUGAACCAGCCAAGUAGCGUGCAGGAUGACGGCCCUAUGGGUUGUAAACUGCUUUUAUACAGGAAUAAAGUUAGCCACGUGUGGUUAUUUGUAGGUACUGUAUGAAUAAGGACCGGCUAAUUCCGUGCCAGCCGCCGCCGUAA
Molecule: ribosomal RNA, 506 nt
Filed under: uncultured bacterium
Lineage: Bacteria
Description: partial 16S ribosomal RNA
Rfam family: Bacterial small subunit ribosomal RNA
Source: RNAcentral